CCUACGGGAGGCAGCAGUGAGGAAUAUUGGUCAAUGGGCGCGAGCCUGAACCAGCCAAGUCGCGUGAAGGAUGACUGCCCUAUGGGUUGUAAACAUCUUUUAUAUGGAGAUAAAACGUUCAACGUGUGCGUUUUUGCAUGUACCAUAUGAAUAAGGAUCGGCUAACCCCGUGCCAGCAGCCGCGGUAAUACGGAGGAUCCGAGCGUUAUCCGGAUUUAUUGGGUUUAAAGGGAGCGUAGGUGGAUUGUUAAGUCAGUUGUGAAAGUUUGCGGCUCAACCGUAAAAUUGCAGUUGAUACUGGCAGGCUUGAGUACAGUAGAGGUGGGCGGAAUUCGAGGUGUAGCGGUGAAAUGCGUAGAUAUCACGAAGAACUCCGAUGGCGAAGGCAGUUCACUGGAC
Molecule: ribosomal RNA, 399 nt
Filed under: uncultured bacterium
Lineage: Bacteria
Description: partial 16S ribosomal RNA
Rfam family: Bacterial small subunit ribosomal RNA
Source: RNAcentral